Apis laboriosa (Himalayan honeybee) is the source of this 289-nucleotide long non-coding RNA. RefSeq lists it as uncharacterized. NCBI's taxonomy places the organism in Eukaryota, Metazoa, Arthropoda, Insecta, Hymenoptera, Apidae. The transcript is spliced from 3 exons. The record is from RefSeq and is a predicted model, not a curated record.
CAAGGUUUUAGAACCAGAAUCUUUCCAAUCGAAGAAAAUGGAAUGGACUAUCGAUAUCGAUGUGGAUAACUGCGACAACGAAUUACUACAUCGAUAAUUGUUUGGAAUAAGAAUCAUUUCGUUGAUUUUGCGAUGUUUGGAAUAGUUUACGACGGAUUAGAUUUAGGUUAGGUUUAUCGCAACGUAUAUCUUACUUAUCCUUGAAGGAUGUUCAAUUUAUCUAACCUCAUCUUCUUCGAAAUAAUUUUAUCUACUGUGCACAUACAUCGUUAAGCAAUCCUUGAUCAGA